RNAcentral lists this ribosomal RNA (793 nucleotides) under uncultured archaeon. RNAcentral describes it as "bacterial SSU rRNA". It matches the Rfam family "Archaeal small subunit ribosomal RNA", at positions 85 to 879 of the family's 1478-position model. The record is from RNAcentral.
ACGGCUCAGUAACACGUGGACAACCUGCCCAAAGGUCCGGGAUAACCCCGGGAAACUGGGGAUAAUACCGGAUAAAUCACAGGUACUGGAAGGUCUUGUGGUUGAAACUUCCGGGGCCUUUGGAUGGGUCUGCGGCGGAUUAGGUUGUUGCCGGUGUAACGUACCGUCAAGCCUGUAAUCCGUACGGGUUGUGGGAGCAAGAGCCCGGAGAUGGAUUCUGAGACACGAAUCCAGGCCCUACGGGGCGCAGCAGGCGCGAAAACUCUACAAUGCAGGCAACUGCGAUAGGGGAACAUCGAGUGAUACUCAUCUUGGGUGUCUGUCCUCCCGUCUAAAAAACGGGAGUUAGCAAGGGCCGGGCAAGACCGGUGCCAGCCGCCGCGGUAAUACCGGCGGCUCGAGUGGUGGCCGAUAUUAUUGAGUCUAAAGGGUCCGUAGCCGGCUUUGCAAGUCUUUUGGGAAAUCCAGCGGCUUAACCGUUGGUCGUCCGGGAGAUACUACAUUGCUUGGGACUGGGAGAGGUAGGAGGUACUCAGGGGGUAGGAGUGAAAUCCUGUAAUCCUUUGGGGACCACCGGUGGCGAAGGCGUCCUACCAGAACAGGUCCGACGGUGAGGGACGAAAGCUAGGGGCACGAACCGGAUUAGAUACCCGGGUAGUCCUAGCCGUAAACGAUGCUCGCUAGGUGUCACAACAAUCGUGAAUUGUUGUGGUGCCGUAGGGAAGCCGUGAAGCGAGCCACUUGGGAAGUACGACCGCAAGGUUGAAACUUAAAGGAAUUGGCGGGGGAGAAC